This 324-nucleotide ribosomal RNA is filed under the name uncultured eukaryote. RNAcentral describes it as "partial 18S ribosomal RNA". It matches the Rfam family "Eukaryotic small subunit ribosomal RNA", at positions 1470 to 1796 of the family's 1831-position model. The record is from RNAcentral.
CCCUUAGAUGUUCUGGGCCGCACGCGCGCUACACUGAUGCAUUCAACGAGUUUCUUCCUGGUCCGAGAGGAAUGGGUAACCUUUUGAAAGUGCAUCGUGAUAGGGAUAGACUAUUGCAAUUAUUGGUCUUCAACGAGGAAUUCCUAGUAGACGUAGUUCAUCAGACUGCAUCGAUUACGUCCCUGCCCUUUGUACACACCGCCCGUCGCUCCUAACGAUUGAAUGCUCAGGUGAGCCAUUCGGACUUUCAUCAUGCUGGUUUCCAGUUUUGAUGAAGGAAAGUCUUGCGAACCUUAUCAUUUAGAGGAAGGAGAAGUCGUAACA